UACGGGGGGGGCAAGCGUUGUUCGGAAUUACUGGGCGUAAAGGGCUCGUAGGCGGCCAACUAAGUCAGACGUGAAAUCCCUCAGCUUAACUGGGGAACUGCGUCUGAUACUGGAUGGCUUGGAUUCGGGAGAGGAAUGCGGAAUUCCAGGUGUAGCGGUGAAAUGCGUAGAUAUCUGGAGGAACACCGGUGGCGAAGGCGGCAUCCUGGACCAAUUCUGACACUGAGGAGCGAAAGCCAGGGGAGCAAACGGG
Molecule: ribosomal RNA, 253 nt
Filed under: uncultured bacterium
Lineage: Bacteria
Description: partial 16S ribosomal RNA
Rfam family: Bacterial small subunit ribosomal RNA
Source: RNAcentral